This is a long non-coding RNA of Helianthus annuus (common sunflower), 630 nucleotides long. RefSeq lists it as uncharacterized. Lineage: Eukaryota; Viridiplantae; Streptophyta; Magnoliopsida; Asterales; Asteraceae. The transcript is spliced from 4 exons. The record is from RefSeq and is a predicted model, not a curated record.
UUAACCAACAGAAGGAAUACAUUAAGGUUUAAUAGUUGAUAUGAUUUCAAACCCGUAUGCUAAGUAUGUGAUAUUUAAGUUGCAAGUUAGCAUUUUUGUUGAUGCUUGGCCUAAACAAGGAGGAUGAAGAAGACAAUAUGUGAUUAAAGGUCCUCUAAGUGAGUUAAGUGAACCUCAACAAGUUCAAGCACAUAGGGAAACCAGCAGCGGUAUUUCGUCAAGAACAUGUAUUCACAAUCGCUGAAAUCCUCAACAAAUACACUCAAGACAAUACGCUAUGCCCCUUGCCUUACUAACAUCAAAGACAUGGCCUUUGGUUGUGGACAUCAGGUGGGAAGCUUUAAAUUGUGUUGCCUUAUUAUAGUGGAGAGCGUGAUGAAUGAAGAAGCUGAGAAGUAAGUCUUUUAAAAGCUGCCGACAAUGAAGAAUAGGUAGGUUGAACCCAAAAAAGGCCCUCGUCCAUCUUUUGCACAACUUGUCUACAUAUCACUCUACAUGUUAGUAUGCUAAGUUGUGAUAAAUUUUAAAUAGCACAACAUUUUGUAUAGCUUCGUUUUGUACACCUUUCAUAUAUAAGUUAGGCGAUGCAGCUAUGAAACGUCGGUGUAACAAAUACUCGGUUUUAUUUAG